This 256-nucleotide ribosomal RNA is filed under the name uncultured bacterium. Its description in RNAcentral is "partial 16S ribosomal RNA". It matches the Rfam family "Bacterial small subunit ribosomal RNA", at positions 524 to 777 of the family's 1533-position model. The record is from RNAcentral.
UACGUAGGGUGCAAGCGUUAAUCGGAAUUACUGGGCGUAAAGCGUGCGCAGGCGGUUGUGCAAGACAGAUGUGAAAUCCCCGGGCUCAACCUGGGAACUGCAUUUGUGACUGCAUCGCUGGAGUACGGCAGAGGGGGGAUGGAAUUCCGCGUGUAGCAGUGAAAUGCGUAGAUAUGCGGAGGAACACCGAUGGCGAAGGCAAUCCCCUGGGCCUGUACUGACGCUCAUGCACGAAAGCGUGGGGGAGCAAACAGGG